AGAUACAGAUAUGCGAAUUUCGGUGAUCGAUCAACAUUUAUUUUACGUGGCAUAUAAUAUAAUAUUAUUAUCAUGAUGAAUACAAAUAAUGAUAAAAAGCUAAUACUGUGGAUGGAAGUGGCCACUAUUGUAGGUGAGAAGUUGGAAAGUUAGGAUACAUAAGGUUAUUUCAUUUAUAUCUGUGGGCAACGAUAAACCAUUGUUUGACGAAAGACGAUUCCGACCGCAGUUCGA
This is a non-coding RNA of Cinara cedri, 234 nucleotides long. The record is from the annotation of a GenBank genome assembly. NCBI's taxonomy places the organism in Eukaryota, Metazoa, Arthropoda, Insecta, Hemiptera, Aphididae.